AUCCUUUUGUAGUUCAUAAGCGUGAUGAUUGGGUUUUCAUGCACAUGCCUGAAAUGUGCCUCCCACAAAUCUUUUU
This 76-nucleotide small nucleolar RNA is filed under the name Otolemur garnettii (small-eared galago). RNAcentral describes it as "Small nucleolar RNA U13 (ENSOGAG00000030079.1)". It matches the Rfam family "Small nucleolar RNA U13", at positions 1 to 76 of the family's 104-position model. The record is from RNAcentral. Lineage: Eukaryota; Metazoa; Chordata; Mammalia; Primates; Galagidae.